This 28655-nucleotide long non-coding RNA is filed under the name Ananas comosus (pineapple). RNAcentral's name for it is "long non-coding RNA (ACOM_LNC022877)". Lineage: Eukaryota; Viridiplantae; Streptophyta; Magnoliopsida; Poales; Bromeliaceae. The record is from RNAcentral.
AUUAAUAUGUUUUAUAUUUUUAUUUUUAUUAAUGAACGGUUAGUAAUUAUUAUUAUUUCUAUAAAAUUAUUAUUUUAUCCUUUCAAAAUACUUUUUUAUCAUCAUCUACUUUUCUUAUUUGUUUCUAAAGUUUAGUUUGAUAUUGACGUGAAUCUCAUUAGAAUGGAGUUGAAAAAAAAUAUAUAGGGAUAUAUUUUUGCAUUUUUCGAUGGAACCGUAGAAAAUAUAUCAUAAUCGACUAACCGCAAUAUACGGAAUACAAUAUUAUGUACGGAAACAAACAGAAUAUUUUUCCAUCGCCGUUUCUCACUGCACGUAACGCAAUUUUUCCGUAUGGAAGUUAGCUCUUCGGUAACUACACCUUUCUCAAACCUAUGGUACCUAUCAGAAUAGGAUAUGAAAAGUACUAUUUAUGAGAUUUCAAUCAGAAGUGUAUGAUUUGCACCCUUUUAUUUAAGAAUUUACAAAAUUCUUUAAACUUGUAAUAUUUAUAAAUUUUUUUUUUUUGACAAGAAAGAGAGAAAUUUUGGUUUUUGAAUGAAAAGAAUGUAAGAUUUACAUCCCUAACAUUGCUUUUUUAUUUAUCAAAGAAAAGUGCCUAUCUCUCAUAUAACCCAUUUCUUUUGUUGAACUCUCUGUUAGAAAGACUAGUUAACCUUCUUUUUUUUUUUUUUUUAAUUGGGCUAUAAAAGAGAAAUGCGGUUGGUGCGGAUCAUAGCCCAUUUCUUGAGGACCCACUAACCAAUAAGAUGGUUCUCCCUGUGAGAAUACUCAAAAACCCAAGCCACAAAAAAUAUAUUUGGGUGUCUGCGAAGGGCCUCCCUAUUAGAAAGCGUACGAAUAAUCCAAGCCACAGAAAUUAUUUGGGCAUCUCCGAAGAAAAUCAUAUAUAUAUAUAUAUAUAGAGAGAGAGAGAGAGAGAGAGAGAGGCUGCUGUUGAUUUGGAUCAUAUUAUUCAACCAAUCACCUACUCAACCCUAGAGGAUCACUAUCAUUCUAACUAAGGACCACUAUCAUCCUAACCCCAUAUUCAUUCAUCCAACGGCCGAAAACUUAUAAGUACAAAGAGCUCUAUACUCAUAAGAGUAUAGUAGCUCUAGCAUACAUAUUAUAUAUUUAUUAUAUAUGAUUUUAAAACUGUUGUCCUAAAUUUAUCGGCGAACUGGCAUAUGGCAGCUUGUAUGUCAAUCCAUCUUAAUAAUACAAGUUAAUUAUAUCUUGGGCUAAUUUACUAUAUUCGUACUUUGUUAAUAAAUAAUUGUUUUUUCUUUUUUUCCUUUCAUUCUAUUAUUAUGUAUCUUGUAUAGUACGCAAUAGUUAUUAGGUUAAAUUCUUUUUCUUCCCCAAUUACGUUGUCAAGAUUCAGUUAUUAAAAUUGUUUUAAUGCCCAUUUACUAACUUUUAUUUCAAGCAUUUAAAACAUGGGCUUGGGACAACGAAUCUCAUUAAGCAAGGAAAGGUGUCCGUUUCUAUCCAUCUUUUCGCCAUAAACGGUAAUGAAUGAUGGAUACAUCUUUUAUUUCACUGUAAAAAAUUUUAAAGGUUAAAAAUUACAUUAAGUGUUAUUUUAAAAAUUACAUAUAGUUUUAGUAUUCAUUCUCUCCCUUAAUAAGGUACUAAAAUUACAUUGUAAUCCUCUGUUCCAUAGUUUACACAUUUAUUAUAAAUAAAUAAAUAAUAAUAAUAAGUAUGUCAUAUGUUUUACUGUAAAACUCUAUAUAAGGAUUCUUCAAUCUCCUUGUAUCUAUACUAUUUAAAGAUCUUUUCAUGAAAUGCUUUCCAGCCAUAUAGCAUUAUUAUGGACAAUUAAUUCCCUACCAAAUUUAGCAAAUUUGACGUGGAGGUUCUUUGAUCAAGAAUUAUUUUAAUCAGUUACUUAAUUGGUAUUCUAUCUCAUUCAAUUUGCUUGGUAAUCUGAGAUAAGACACAAGUGUACCGAUUUUCUAUUGCAUUAAUUGCAACUUUUUUGUGAUCCAUUUAUUGUUAUUAUAAUAUUAUUAUUAUUCUCUGUUAUUCCAUUGUUGACUCUUUAAUUUGAUUUGUUACUUAUGUAUAUUUCUCUCUAUAUAUAUAAACAUGGAAAAUAAUAGUUGAAUAUCUAUAUUUUUAGGUACGUACCAUGUAAUUACUACUCCAUUUCACCAAUUAUAUUAUUUUACAUAUUUGUACUCUUUUAGGAAUAAACUUAUGUGAAGUGACAUAUAUCUAACGACUUAUUAGAGUAUGUAAUUAAAUUUUGAUUUUAAACCGAGCAAGAUGUUAUCAAAUGGUGCAGUUUUCAUAUAAUUUUGUAGCUUUAGCAUUGUAAAAAAAAUCCAAAUAAAUUGUUAAGGAUUUUUUUUUUUAAAAAAAAUUAAAUAGGUAAUAAUAUGUUAAAAAAUAUAGUUUAAAAAGAUUUUGAAAAUUAGCAUAAUAUCCCAUUAGAUUAAUCUUAUAGUAGAUUCUCAACUCCAAGAUUCGUUUUUUUUUUUUCUCUCUUUUUAUUCAAGAAUUUUAUAAAAAUAAUAUUAAAAACUAGGUGUAGCUGCUCUGUGCAUUUACACGGGUUACUUAGUAGUGUGUCCAUAAAGUUCACGCCAACAACCUGAGUAGUUCUUGGUGGUUCUAUAUUGGAUAUUAUAUAUAUAAAACAGUCGAUGCCUACAUUAUUAAUUGAGAAAUUAUUGCGUGCUCUUGGUUCCCCAACAUUACUCGUGUACCACCCGUGGACCACUUCUUAGUAACUUCACACUCCAAGUUUAAAAAGUUUUAAUUAUUUUUAAGCCGUAGUAAUGAAGUAGAUUCUCUACGGUAAAUAUUUGGGGGGUCCAUAACUGACGUGGUGGACCCUGUCCUUCCGUCGGUGAGCCGUGGAAAUAAGGAUGAAAUAUUUCAAACUUAAAAUUAUAAUUUAAACUUUAAUUUGAAUCCAUAAAUAUAAUUUAAGUUUUAAAUGAAAUUUGAAUAAAACUUUAUGUAAAUUAAAAUUUAAUUUAAAUUCAAAUUCAUAAGUUAGAUUCGAAAUACUUGAUUAAAUUUUAAUUUUUAAUUUAAGUUUAAAUUAAAAUUAAAAAUUAAAAAUUUAAUUUCUAAGUUUAAACUCAUAUUUUAAUUAAAAAGUUGAAAAAAAAAAAUUUAAUCCGAAUAAAUAUCCAUUCCGUACGGUUUCAACUUCCAUUCUGGCCUCCUAGGCCGGAUUGAAAAAACAGGUGAUUAGGAAAUUCUCAUUCCACUCGGAAAUCGGAAUCGGAAUGAGACUCCCGUGUAUCAAACACCCACAAACGGAUUUGCCCAUUUCGAUCGAUUCCGAUUCCAUGGUGAAAAAAAGCGAACCAAACAUACCGUAAGCUUACGCAAUAUGCACGAACAAUUAAUGAGAUUAGUCAAAAUCACGGAGAAUGCAUUGUGUAAAAUGAAUACUUACAAAAAAAUAUUUAAGGUUGAUGGGCCACUAGUUAACCACAAGAAACCUAAUCUUGUGGGCCAUGGAGGAGCACAUCACAGCCAUAAAAAUGUGAGAAAUUAUUACUUGCACCCAGUGCAUUCAUAUGUCUAGUGCACUGCGCAUUAUUUAAAUGUCCUGGCACAUGCAAUAAAUUAUAUCCUGAUUUAGAAAAAUAUAGAUAAAAACAUAUUGAAUUAUUCUGAAUUAAGAACUAUUUUGAAUUGGCUAUCUAAUCUUUCGAAAUUUGAUUGUACUAUCCAAAUUCUUCAAUUUAUUUGACUUAAGUCAACCAACCGUAUUUAGUUUAACAAAUUUAUAGUCGUAAAAAAUUACAUAAGAUAUCGUAACUAAGCCUGUGAAGAUAAACAGCGUAAUAAAAAUUUUAAGUCAAAGUAUCAUUGGCUGAUUUAAAUCAUCAGAUGAAUUACCAAGUUGGAUAGUAAAAUUAAAAUUUUGAAAGAUUGUGUAGUUAAUUCAAAAUGAUCCAUAGUUCACACGAAUUCAAUACGUAUUUAGGAAGAAUAUAUAAUAAAAUAUUACCAAUGGUGUAUACGAGAUAUGUACACGAGGUGCACGCAAUAAUUUCUCAAGAAAAGUGGAUAUUUUGUUGCCUGUACAAAGGGACAAGAGUAAUAACUAGGUCCAAAACCUAAUCCACAACUUUUAAUCACACACACAUCCCUGUUUUUUUUUUUUUUUUUUUAUCUCAAUUUAUCAACCUAAUCAAUUACUACUACUAUUAAAGCAAUAAAACCCCACAAAAAUGUUAAUCCAUUGACCAAUCAAAAGCCAACAAAAAAGCAUGUAAAAAGGAAAUUUUUUAAACAAAAAAUAAAAGAAGAUCUUAAAAAUAACAAUAAUAACUGAGAAAAGGUCGGUCCCUUGCGUGAGUGUCAAAUCCCCUUAUAUUCUCUCUCUCUUUCUCUCUCUCUCUCUCUCUAUCUCACUAUUUCUCUCUCUAAAACCUUGUUUCACUCUCUCCGAGAUUUCUUCUUUUCUCUCUCUUCUCCCCUCUCUCUCUCUCUAUCUCUCUCUCUCUCUCUAGAGCUCUUCACUUGGUGCGGAGAAGAAAUGCUCCGAAAUUUCAAGGUAAUCCAAACAAGCUGUGAAAAUUCUAGAUUAGUCCCUAAAGCCCCUUAAGUUUUUCUUUUAAUCUCUCUUUUUUUUUCUCAGAUUUGUUGUAGGUUAUCAACGUUCACGGAGUUGGUUCUGGUUGUUUUCUGCAAUUGUCACAAAUUUCGUGCCACGAUUAAAUUUUUAGUAUUCUCGUAUAUACAGUAGUAGUGUUUUUUCUUCUCCUCCUCUUUUUGUUUGAUUUUUUUUUUUUUAAAAAAAAAGUUUUUGUAUCCUAAAAUUAAACAAAUUCGAUGCAAAUUGCUUUCGUACGGAAAAAAAGAGAGAAAAACCCUGUCCUCGAUUUCCCUGCUCUCCGCCAGAAUCAAAAGUUCCUUUUUACUAUUUAAUCAUCUCCUUUUUCUCUCUCGAAGUAAAAAAAAAAAAAAAAAAAAAAAAAAUCCCCCCUCAUUUCUUUUUCCAUUUUAAAAUUUUUCAAGAACAGGGUGUUUUGUUUUGUUUUUUUUUUGUGUUUUAUUUUGGUUAUGAAAAGAAUUGGAUCAGCUUUUAGAAAUCAGAAUCCCUUUUAUGAAAAGAAGGACAUGGGCUAAGUCAUGAUUCCCAUUUAUCAGUCCCUGUCUCUCAUGCUUCCUUAUACUUAACCAACUCCCAAUAGAUUCCUCUCUCUCUCUAUCAUCCUCGGUUUUCUAGCUCUGCCAUUUUAUUUUCCAACCACUCACUUUAUAUAUGCUCUCUAUUUAUCGGUCCAUUAUUAUUAUUCCUUUCAAUCUCUGAAUUACAAUCAUCUUCAUUUCAUCGCAGGAUAGCCGACUAUCGAUUUAAGAAGAAGAAAAAAAGGGAGAGAGAGCAGAAAUUAGAGAAUGGAAGGAGAUGUGUUUUCGGGGCUGAACAACGGGGGAGGAGGGGGAGGAGGAGGAGGAGGAGGAGCGCAGGUGGAUAGCAAGGUGAUGCAGAAUUUCCAGAAGAGCUUCGUGCAGGUGCAGAGCAUAUUGGAUCAGAACAGGCUGCUGAUCAACGAGAUCAACCAGAACCACGAGUCGAAGAUCCCCGACAACCUGAGCCGCAACGUCGGGCUCAUCCGGGAGCUCAACAACAACAUCAGGCGCGUCGUCGACCUCUACGCCGACCUCUCCGUCUCCUUCUCCAAGUCGAUGGACGCCUCGUCGGAGGGCGACUCCGCGGGGAGUAAAUCCGGGCAGAAGCGAAUUAGGCCCGGUUAAAAAACAAGAGAAGGUGUGGAUCAGAGGUGGAUUAUUCUCUUUGUAAGUGUGUUUGUGCUCUCUCUCUCUCUCUCUCUCUGUUUCUGAAGCAGUUCAAUUUUUCUUUAGGAGGAGGGGGGGUACUUACUUUGUAGAACAUAACCUUUGUGGGAAGUUUCCUUUUGUUGGUACUUAUUCGCUUGUAGUUCAAUCAACUAAUUAUGUGCCUUUUUAUGCAUUUUUACAUGUCUUAAUGAUUAAUCCGAGAGUAAUUUUCCCUGGACCUUUUUUCAAGUAACUACUACAAAACAUCUCGCUUGCUAAUUUGGUAAUUAAGCCUUCCAUAAAGGCUUUCUCCAUCAAUCAACAACUAUAGUACAAAAUCACCAAUGGUAGUAGUAGUACCCUAGUGGGGCUUUCCCUGCAAUUAAUCAUUUUUCUCUACUUUUUUCUUUUUUUCUUUUCCUUUUUUUUUUUUUUUUAGCCUCUGCUAGCUGAUCUUUUUAUUUAUUUAUUUAUUUAUUUAUUCAUUCAUAAACUUACAAAAGAGGUUGAGAUGCCCCAUGGAAUCAAGGCCUCUUUUUUUUUAACUUAUAAGAAAAGCACUUGUCAUGCAUCCUGGAUGUUGGUGGGAGCUAGGCAUGUAUCUAUCUGCUCCUGGAAGUGCCAGAGAGGAGGAGGAGUUGUUCAGUUUGUGGGCUGCUUCUCUGAAGAUGCUUUUAGGGCAUCAGCUUCUAUUAUUUUUGGGCUUCCAAUCAUGUAACCCACCCACUAGUGUAGAAUCUCAGAUAAGAGGAGGUGAGGUGAAGCCUUUUUGACCACUAUUUUGGCAUGGCCAAUGCCAAAUUAACCUCCUUGCUCCUCUUAUACAUGUUCCUAGCUCUGUGGGUGCUACAAGAACUGACAUGGAAUAUAAUAGGAGAAGGUAAUAAAGCAGCAAAGAUAAUAAUAAAUAAAUAUAUAUAGUAUAAUAAUGCCAUGGCAAUGGAAUACUACUGCAAGUAUCCAAACACAGUGAUGUCCAAUGACAAGGCCAUGGGCCCAGAGCAGCUCUCCUUUGGGGGAUGAAUAACAACAUCAUCAAUCAUCAACACUUAUCUGCUUAUUUACUUGCCCCUGCACCUGGUAUUCCACAUCAUCAGCCUGCUCUAGUAUUAUCCAAAGCCAAAGGAUCUGUCUUAAAGCAAAUUGUUCAGAAAUAAUUUUAACGCCUCGUCUGUCUCUCGACCUCACGUGCAUGAUGAAGAUGAGAUUGCUGCAAAAUAACCGGUAGAAAUUUAACCUACGACGCCUUGUGUAUAGAAAAUAGUUACUGAUACAGAACAUCGCAGGAGUAGUUUGAAAAAUAUAAUCAUAUCAGGUGUUGCGCUUACUAAUUAGCCGACACGUGCGUUCUAAACACUACCUGCAUAUCGGCAAGCAUCUUGGAAUGUUAGAUCAUUAAUUCAAAAGGUUUGAGCUGUCAGAAAUACGCGAUCAAUUCACUUAAAGCGUACAGAUACAGCGCCCACGAGUCUAGAUUGUGAUUCGGUCCAACCAACUUAACGCCACUUCGAACAUGACUCGGCCCACUUGGUCUCACGCCAUUUCGAAUAUGAGACUUGGCCCAACAUGACCUUCUGUCCAAAGAAUAUAUAUAAUGCUGAUCCAUUUAAGCCGAGAGAGAUUACGCAUAAAUAUGAAUCCAAACUGGUUGAGCUGAUGAGAUUCGACCACCCCUUUCUCUAUGUUGAUAGUUCAGCUGUUCCGAGGGAGGAAGGGGCCCACAUCAAUCCUUCUCGGAAUCACUGCACGGUUGUUGGUUAUUGGCCAUGGAGAGGGAGAGGGAGAGGGAGAGGGAGAGGGAGGGGACCCAUUUUUGAGGGUCCAAUAAUUUGGAGAUUUUUUUGAUCGUUCGCUUCUUACGAAAUCAGGAGGAAUUUGGGUGAAAACGAACUGUGCUUUGUGCAUGCGCAACAUUGUUUGGUGUGACCUCGUUUUCACGCCUCUUUAGCCGCUGAGACCACACUUUAUUUGAGCUACAGUUUACGGCGCAUCUAUGUAUCUUUCCAUUGGUGGAAAUAUCCACGUUGAGUGAUCUGGACCGUGUUGAAUAUAAAAUAUUAUAAAAAUAUUAUUUUUUAAUUAUUUUUAGUUUUCUAAAAAUAAUAAUUGUUUCGUAUCAUUUAAUCAAUAAUUUAUUAAAAAUAUUAUUAUUUGAUAGCUUAAGUUAUUAAAAAAUAAAGAUAAUCUCAAUAUAAAUAUUAAAGAAUUAUUUUUUGGCAGUUUAAGUUUGAACCGGUCAGUUUGACCUCGAAUCGGUUGGACCAACUAGUUUAGACCGGUCGAAAUUUGGCAACUUUAUAUUACAAUAAGGUUCAAUCAUGGUUUUACCUCGGUUAAUUCUAUGACUCUAAUACGUCUUCAGUCACUGGUUCAAUUUGUGGAUCAGUUUCUCUAAAUACUAAAAACUAUAUAUCGAGAGAAAAUUAGUAUAGAACUACUUGUUUAGGACAAACACUUUAAAAGAUAUUUCUAACAAAGCAGUGCAUUUUAAUAGAAAGAUAGAUUUUAACAUCAAAAGAUUUAGAAAUUUAUAAUUCAAAUAACUAAACCAAAUUAAUAAUUAAAGGUGAAAAAAAUGGUCUUAUUUUUUCUAGAAAGACCUAUUGUCUCAUGAAAAAUUUCACCUAAAAACUAACGAAAUGUAAAAGAAGGGCCCACAAAAAAAAAAAAAAAAAGAAACNACUAAAUUGUUGCACUCACGAGCCAAUCCAUGACGCAACGAAUCACAACCACGACACAUAUCUAUCAACAGCUACUCAAUUAAACUUCGAGUUUGCUAAACGCAAACGCAAACGCAAUGCCCUGCUUUUUAUAAAAGCGCUUUUGUUUGGGUAAUCACAAGCACCCACUCAUCAACAAGAUUUAAAUAUAUAUUAGAGUAAUUUCACAUCAAAUUAAAUAAUGCCCUGGUCAUGAGCUUUGUCUAUGUUCCACAAACUAUGCCUUUAAUUGUUUAUACUUUGUAUGCUUAGUUUAGGUUGUUGUUUAAGUGGUAAAGGUGGGCUUUUCAUUUGUUUAUUUUGUGUAGUAAACUUAUAAUAGAAAAGUGAGGUGGAGAAAGGGAAAGAUUCCAACCUACUCACAUACUAGGAAACCUUUAUUAUUAGAUUAUUAGGGCUUUAAAUUAAAAAUUGGUUGAGUAAAUGAAGGAACCAAAGUGAGUUUCUAGGUCUCCAAAACUUAUCCAAAUUUGGGAUAAAACUUCUGCCGGGAGCUUCUCAAUAACUCUUCGUUGGAAAGCUCUCGAUCCACAGUUAUAUAUUGCUUUUGUUAUUAUCAAAGAAUUCAUUAGGUAUUUUUAAUACUAAAAUUGAAAAAUAAAAUCUUUUAAGAGAAAGAUUAUAAUUAUUAGAUAGAGAUAAAACUAGCACAUAGCAGCAUAUCAGAGCGUCUCACUUAGGCGUCCUUGGAGAAAUCUUUAAAGAUACAUUGCCACACUUGUGUACCGAGGUGUCACAAGUUCACACACGUGUUAACGCUCGAUGCUCUUAAUGGAGAAAAAAGGGAAAAGUGUUUUUUUUUUUAUUUUUUUUAGCGUGAAUGCGGUUUUUAAGACUAUUGAAUUGAUGUAUUAGCAAAUAAAAAUUAAUAUUUUCAGAGUUAAUCUUAAUAUUUUUAAAGUAGAGGCAUUUUAUUUAAUUACGGUUGAAAUUUUUUACUUCGACAAUAUAAAAAGUCAUUAAUUUUCUUAGCAAAUAUAUAUAUAUAUACUGUAAUUUGAAAUUGAGUGUGUGUACUAAUAAAAAAAAUUUAUAUUUAUUUAUGUUAAUAUAUUAACAGUUUAGAAAAACAAUAUUUUAAAAGAUCUAUAGAAAUGCUUGGUCAUAGUUAUAAUAAUAGAUAUAAUAAAAUAAUAAUCAUCAUUUAGUAAGAGUGUAAGAACAAAAUUGUUUAUUUAAAAUUAUCAUAUUAUACUUGCUAGAUCAGCAUCUCACGUAAAUCAAAGAGAUUAGCAUAUGGAGUAUUUAUUAUAAUUCUUUAUUUUAUUUUAUUAUUAUUACUGUUUUGGUCAAUCACCUUCAGCCCCCAUGACCAGUGUAAUAGCCGUGAUGAGACGUUCGUAAUGUAUGAUUUUAUAUUGCUUUAAGAUUCGAGAUUACAGUAUAGGCGGUUUAAAUCUCCGUCCAUUAUGAUGGGUUAUUAUCAUUAGGCAAAACAUUUUAAUCAUUUUAAUUAUAAAGUUUUGAAUGUAUUGAUCUUUUUUUUUUUUCUAUUUUUAUUUUUCUUCUCGUGAUAUUUGUAGCUCCAUAAUUAUUCGGUGGGAUAGAUUUAUACUCCAUUUUGCUCGUUCUCCUAUUCUUUGUUUUGGAUCUGCUUUUCAUUUUGACCGUUUCAAGUACUGCACCUUUGGAUCUUUUGAGUACUAUGCUAGGAAACUUAACUGUAACUUAACUGUAUUUUUUCAACACACGUGACAUGAUUUAUAUGAUUAUUGAUUGGUUUUUUAAAGUACAGGUUGAUCCAAAUUAUAAAUGACUCUCUAGUUGGUGAAUCUAGGCAAUGCAACGCGGGUCGACAACAACGUGAUCGAGACGUUCCGAAAGAGCUUCGUGCAGGUGCAGGGCAUGUUGGAUCAGAAUCGUUUGCUGAUCUCAACGAGAUCAACCACAAUCACGAGUCGAAGAUUGCCGACAACCUCGAUCGCAACGUAGGGCUCAUCAGGGAGCCCAACAGCAACAUCCGGCGCGUCGUCGGCCUCUACCCCGACCUUUCCGUCUCCGUCGCUGAGUCUGUGGAGCCGACUCCACCGCCAUCGGAGGGGGGGCGCAGCCUCGAGGCCCCAGAGCAAGAGGAAUCGGCGGGGGUAGAGAAAGAGGAAGAGAGAGGAAAAAAAGCAAUGUAAUAGAAUACAAUAUAUGACAGGUCACUGAUCUCUCUCGGUAUCUUCAUCUUUUUAUUUCCCGAGUUCUCGUAGCUAUCUGUUUUGUUCAUUUUUAUAAUUAAAUUCAAAAUUUUAAAAUUCUCGAAUAACAUUUGUUAAGUUCUUAGUUAAUUACGACCGUAAACAAUCGAUGGCACUCAUUGUUUUAAGUUGGAGUAUUUAUACCAAAGCAGUGUUUUGACACACUGAUAUGUUAGAAGAUGCAUUAACAGCUAUAGCGAAAACAUGAAUUUCAAAUUUUAUUAAAGUUAAAAAAAAAAGAAAAACAACAUAUUUUUUGUCAAUUAGAAGUGUGAUAAUUUUUUAAAAAAAAUUUAGUUAGACUAAAUUGGCACUUAGAUGACAUAUGGGGCCCAGAUUUAAUCUAGCCAGGCUGGGAGAAGCACAAAUGAUUUUGUACAGCUGGAAAAAAAGAAUUUUAAAAAAUUGCCACCAAAUUGUAAAAGCGGUAAAAUACUACAAUGAAAAAAAAAAGAAGUUAAAAAGUGAUAUAUCUAUGCCCCAGGAACAGGACAAGGGAGGGAACUUCAAAUGGGUUUGUUCUUCUUAGAAGAGAGAUUUAAAGCCACAGAAAAAAAAAAAAGAGAAAAAAAUAAAAAAAAUGCUUAUCUCCACUUUGUUUUCUUCUCCAUGUGUGCAAUAAAUGCCACAAAUGAACUGAGUUUCUCUAUACAAACAAUUAGAUUCCACCAACUCUAUGUUGAUUGCUCAGUUGUCGUAAAGUGGACCCCACCAUGGCUUGUAUCUUAUUUUGAUUUUCUGAGUGGGUAAAUUUCAUGACCACUAGUUCCUAUAUUUUCAGCUAGAUUUUAUUUUAGUUUUCAAAAUCUUAAUUUCAGUAUAAGAUUAUUUUAUUUUUUAAAAAAUUUUUCAUUGUAGUCUCUAUGUUUGUUUACUAAUGAGGAUAAACUAUUACCUAUACUUAAUACAACUGUAAAUUUAUGUAUCAUACAUUCGUCGAUUCUUUAUUCAUCGCAUCUUUCAGCAUCAAGUAAUAAUCUUUUUUUUUGUUACGAAAUUAAACUAUUAAAUAAGAAGUAUCAAAUGGGUGAAGAUUACCGAUUUAAAAUGAAUUUUGAUGUAUAAAUAUCUUAUUCGGUAUAUUAUUAUAAUUUAUUCGGAAAGCUUGUAUAUAUUAGUAGAUAAAGGGUGUAAUUAAAUGUCUAGAAUUAAAUAUUAUAUUCGGCCUUAUAAUUUUUUUUUUAAAAAAUAAGAUAACUUAUUCCGUCUUUCAAACAGGGCCUAAUAGAAAGCAAUAUUUUUUAUUAUAAAGUAACGAGUAUAAAGAAAUAAUUCUACAAGUUUACGACUAAAAUUUAUUACUUAAAAGUUCAAGAAUUAAAACAUUAAAAUUAAAAGUUUGGGGGCCAAAAUAAAACUAGACUUGGAGUCCAGGGGCUGGUAGUGCAAUUUAGCCAAUUUGGAAUCAUCAACUUAAUUGGAGAUAUUUGGACUUAUGGAGGGAGAGAUCCACAUGGGUUAUUUACCAAAUUGGGUUAAUUCUUGGGUUGGGAACACAUUGUGUGCUUGCUCUUUUAUAGAUCUAGAAUUGCUCUUCUAGCACCUAAAGUGGUUUCCAAGGGGAAUAGAUAGAGAGGGUCAGGCCAAAAGCAUGCCCUACAAAUUAACUAUGGUUAGGUUAGCUCUCACCCUUGUGGUUUGAGAUAUUAUAAUCUAAUCCUCUAGUUUGUUUUAUUAUAUACAAAAACAUAUACUAUGUAAUACUACUUCAUAACCCAAAUUUAACAGUAUAAAAAAAAUGUAUUUUUACAGACAGUCUUUAGUGCAGAGAACAAAGAGUUUGCUGAUUGGUACUCGAGCUCUCAAAGUUGAAGGGCAGUUGCUUUACAUUUUCAGCUAAUUUUAUUAAAAAAAAAGAAACAUAACAUAGAGCCUGCUAUCUUUCCGAGGUGCUAAAUUUAAGUCUCCGUCGAGAGAACUUCCGGAAAAAAGAUAUAGAGAGUUUAGUUUUCAGUUCUUUUUAUUUUUUUUAAAGAGAACCUAUAGAAAGGAGGACAAAAAAAAAAAAAAAAUGUUAGGUGAUCUGUAUGCAGGGAAUCCCAGGGAAAGUCCUCAUUAAUAAAAAAAUAGUAAUAAAAAAAAAAGAACAAAAAAAGUUGUUAGAAGGUCACUUACAUCAUUCCCAAUUAGUUUAAUCCUAAUCUCUUUGUUUUUAAGGAAACAAAUGGCCCAAGCAUGUACUUGGUGCAAAGAUACUAAGCCAAGUCAAACACAUGUGGGACAAAUUAUUCAUCAAAUUAAUACUACUACUUAUUUGGAGAAUCUGAUGUUGCACGUAUCAUUCUAAUUGCAUGUGUCUCGAUUCUUCCUUUUGCUCUCUCACCACUUUACUACCGUGCAAAAUAAUUUUAUUUAUUAUACAUAACUAUUUAGGAAAAAGUUUUCUAUGUAAUCGAUGUUCUGUAUAAACAAUUGUUAUCUAGAGUAGUUGGUAUUUUUUUUAAGAAAAAUCAAUUUGAGAAUACUCAGUUCCAACACAAAUGGGACAAUGCAAUUGUCUUGGUAUGAUCUAUUACAAAAAGGCCCAAGAUAAAAUGGGCCGGCCCAAUACUGGCCCAUUUAGAUAACUAUAUUAAGCAAAAAAGUAGAGCCCGGCCCAUUUAUGCGUCUAGGUACAAAAGCCUAGAUGAAAUUUUUCGUAAUUAUUUUAUCGCUGGGACGAGCCCAAAAUGGCCGGGUCGGAUCUGGUUGGAACAUAUAAAAAAAAGAGGAAAAAUUGCGAAGUUAUUCAUCUCUGGUUUUAUUAGUUUGAGUGCGAGUCGCAAAAACCUAGAUCGAAAAGACUGAACAAAAGUGGUUCGGGUCAGAUUUGCUCAGGUCUAGUGAAGUAGAUUGAUUGCAAAAGCUGACACGUCAAUUGUACUAUGAGUUACACGCUGUGACGCUGAGAUACCAAUAAUAUAUUUACUCAUUCGGGAUCGAAUAUCUCUCUACUGUCCAGGAACAGAUAGUUUGGUGUCACAUUAAAAUGUGGGAUAAAGUCCCAAGCAAUGUGAGAUGGUAUCAUCUCUCCAUGCCCGGAUAAAUUAGAACAAGAAAAUCUGCUGGUGAGAUAAGGAUCUGGCAAAAUCAUCUCCACAAUUGACUUCAAUGGGGGAUGGAAAAGACAAAAAGAGGGGUACGAUUGUAUGCUUGUGGAUCUUUCGGUUACUCUAUGUUGUAGAGAUGUUGCAUGAAAGGUGACCUCACUUUAGCUCGUUUCAACGAUGGCGAGGAUCCGAAUCAUCGCCAUCCGGUUCGGUCGAGUCGGUGAUUCCAUCAUCUUUAAGUUACUAAAGUGAUUUGAAAUGGCGAUCGAAUCGUUUUCAUUUGCAUGCAUGGUAUUCUAGUUGGAAAAGCAAAGUUGCAUAUCCGUUUUCGCAAGAGUUGGAUGGGAUUUAUUAAAUCUGAUCAAAUUAAAAUUAAAAAGAAAAACACUCUUAGUUGUUGUCGCAUCAAAUAUCAUUUCAUGUUCACCACUAUAAGAGGAAAGCGAAGGGAACGAAUUAAAGGUUGGAUGAUCGGUAAUAAUGUAUUUGUGACACUCCAAUAAUCCCGCAUCAGAUGGUUAUGACUAGAUAUGAAAAAUAUAUAAACUUAAUUAGGGUAGACAUAAUAACUGGGUUUAAGUAUUUUGGACCGAUAGUUUUGGCCCAACGAAUUAUUAUUGCUAGUGGGUUGUAUCGAUAUAUUUGGUAUUAGAGCUAAUUCAUCGGUCGAAAAUAUGAGAUGAGUUUUGACUGAGUCUGGAUCGGGUCGGGUCGAUAUAUUUGAUAUCAGAGCCAGUUCACCAGCCGAAAGUAAGAAAUGAAUUUUGGCCGAGUCAGGGUUGACAAGUCUCACAUCGCUUAAUAAUUUUGGACUGUGUGUGUAUUUAGGACUGAUGAGGACGUCCGGGGGAGUAUGUGACACUUUAAUAAUCUCAUAUCGGAUGGUUAUGACUAGAUAUGGAGGUAUAUAAAUUUGAUUAGAUUAGAUAUAAUAAUUGGGCUUAAGCAUUUAAGCCGGUUAUAUAGAUAUUGCAUCAAAUUUUAUGUUUGCAAAAGUUGAGGUCAAUAGUAGACCCAUGGCAUUGAAUUAUAGUGUGAUUUGGGCCCAGCAAGUCACACUUUUAUUGGUAGGCAAUGGAAUAGUGCCAUACACAGCAGUGAUUCCACUAGUGGAAUAUCCGUGGCUUUGCUUGAUCCAUUAGUGGGAGUCAUGUCUUGGUUGAUUUAUGCCUCUUGGGUGGAUCAUGAUCUGUGCUUGUUAUCGUUAUCAUCAUUAUUAUUGUUUUCGACUUUAUAAACUCCGCCUGUACGGACGUGCGAGUAUAUUCGAUAUAACCGUUAUUUUAUAAAAUUUUGAGACAUUUGAGAUUAGAACAAUCAAUCGCUUGCUCGGGCUAAUAGUUGCUAUCCGAAUUGCCGUCCUUGAGGUCGGGAGUUCGAACUCCAGUUGUGCCCUAACGAAAAAGGCUUACGCCCCCUACUUUUUGGAUAUAAGAUAAUAUUUUAUAUGCCAGACGAGUUGGAGCCUGCUGACGAGAUAAAAAAUAAUGAUAAAAAAUCCUCUAUUGGAAUGCUAAGGAAUGAGAAAUCACAAUGGGCCAAGACGGCCCCAAGGCCCAAAAGCCCGCAAAUUAUUGUGGCCCACUGACAUGGGUUGUUACAAUUGGUUCUCAAUAGUCAAUACUGUUCAACUAAAUAUUAUGUGAAUAGUUAAUUAAAAAAAGAGUUAAUUUUCAACUACUGCAGAAGCAUUAGUAUCAAAGUAAGAAUUUUGCUUUCCAGGUCCAUGGAUGCAGAGGCUUGGGACACUUAUCCGACAAAAUAUAUAAUUCCGUGAUGAUUCUAUUCACUCCUCCGUAUCACAUAAAAUACAGUACACAAUUAGAAUAAAAUAUUUAUGGAGUAGUUAAUUAAUGCGCCAUUCAACACAGCGAAACUCAGUUAUAUAAACUAGGCGAAAACACAAACUUGCUCAAAGGGAGAUAAAUAUAGUGAGAGAGGCACAUCAAAGCAUUUCACACGACUCUCUCUUUUUCUCUCUCUCUCUCUCUCUCUCUCUCUCUCUUAAAUCCACUUGAAAUUUAAAGGGUUAAUAAAGUUGAGGAGAUAGAGAAUGACACAUAGACAAGCAAUAAAGCAAAGUAAGGGGGGGAUUAAAGAAGGCGAUUGCACGUGGGGUGGGCAGCGUUCACGCGUGGCAGACAAUGUCAGCACGCAGGUGCACGGAACAAAAUAUCUGCUCUCCAUCACUAAAGCGUUCGUUAAUUUCUAUCACACACACACACACACACACACACACACACACACACACACACACACACACCAGCUUCUUGGAUCCGGUUCCACUUUGUAUUAUUCUCACUUUUAAUAUACAUGUCCAUGUAUAUAUAUAUAUAUAUUCUUUACAUGAUUGUGUUCACGCGACCCAAUUUGGUGGGUGGCUGGAUCCAUGUAAAUAUAGAUCCGACCCGAUUGUUAAUUGAGUACCAUUUUCUCAGGGAAAUCUCGAAGAUCAAACUUUGUAAGGCCGUAUUUGGAUAUCUGGACAAGUUAUGAGCAUUCCCUUUUUUUUUGAGGGAAAAAAACACUAGGACGUAAACAAAUGAGUAUAGGCCGGAUGUUAAUUUGUGCAUGCACAUUAGUAGACGUGCUUGGAUAGGCUAUGAGUACUGUAAACGAAAAGGUGCAAACAUAGCGAGUUAGUUGGAACGCAGAGAACUCACAAGAUCAUACCCAAAGUGCUCCACUUAUAAAAUUUUCGAUGUUCUAAUCACGGAGUUCGAGCGAACUGGAGUGUGGAGAGGUCACCACAAUCAGUGAAGUCAUACACACACCCCAAAAUUGCCGAAUGCCGCCCUAAACGGAUCGAAAAAGUUCCCGCCCGAACCCGAUUUUGCAGGCCUAUAACACAUAAGAAGGACAAAAGAAGUAAAGGGGGAGAAGUUAAAAAGCAGAAGCUGCUAAUGCUGCUGCUGCUGCUGCUAGUCUACUUUGAUUCGUUUGCUCCUCGGGAUCGCCCCACCGUGUCUUCGAUCUCUGUCCCUGUCGCUUCUCGUCUCUCUGUCUUUCUCUUUCUCUUUCUCUUUCUCUUUCGCUGCUCCCAAAACCGUGCGCUUUAGUUUUUAAGGAAAAGAAGAAGUAACGUGAUGGGCCAAAACCCACAUCGUCGACGCGUCGUUUUCAUUGGAUUUGGAUCCCUCGUAUUUUCCUACCGCAUGGCACGUAGCAAAAUGACUUCACAUCCACACUAUUAUUAUUAUUAUUACUAUUAUUAUUAUUAUUAUUAUUAUUAUUAUUAUUAUUGGUAAGAAUAAUAUUUUAGAUUAUAAUUAAGACAAAAUUAUAUAAAAUUUGUCUGUCAAUACUUGUUUCUUUUACUCCCCUUGUCAUUUAAAAACUUACACUUUCUUUUUAAAAAAUAAAAAAUAUUCACAAAGGAUACGCUGUGACAAAAUGAUCAAAUUACUCAUCAUCUUCUUCGAAAUGGACGUGGACGAAGAGGUUGGCAAGAGCGAGGGUGAGGCGAUGCGGCCGAGGAUGAGGAUGAGGAAAAAGGAGAGAUUCAGAAGCUUUUUAGGUAUAAAACAUAGGAUAUAAACGGAACUCUAACGGAGCACUGAUGGCGGGUCAAAGUGAACAUUUUUUAUUUUAUAAAGGGGUAAAGUGUAGAUUUUUGAAUGACAGAAAAGAAAAAGUGAAAAAAUGAAUAUUGACAAAAAUUUUUUCUAUAAUUUAGCCUAUAAUUAACUGUAUCAAUCUAUAACUCCGUGGUAUACUGGUACGUGAUCAAGUUUUUAUUGUGAAUUCACCUUUUGAAUACAUUGUAAAAUAUAUAACUUGUUAGUACGCUCUUCAGCUGAAUACGUAGGAUAUAUACCCAAAUUAUCCCAUCAAGCUCUUUUACAACUAUAAAUUAGGUUACACAUACUAGUUUGUUUAUUAUUGGAAAAGCAUUGGAAAAUAAUUAAGAAAAUACCUUAGAUGAUAUCAAAUAACAAAGUUAUAAGCUUAAUUAAUGGUAGGAUAUAAAAAUACACAUUAGUUGACAUGUUUUGUUCCACUAGCAUGUAGAACAACAUUCCCGACUUACAAAGGUAAAAAAUAAAAAAUUAUUCUAGUGAGAUAUAUAUUGGCCAUGGUCAAAUAAUCCGUAAAUUGAAAACUAACAACAAGACCGACCGUCCCUAGAGCAAGUCGCAAAGGACUUGAUGGUUGGUAUUUGAGACCCAAGUUCGAAUCCUAGUUGAUUCAUAUUUCUAGCUAAGUUUAUUUCUUAAUGAAAUAAACGAAGCGGGUAACAUGUUACCUAUCUCUUUAAAAAAAAAAAAAAANGAAAAAAAAAAAAAAAGAGAGGGAAAACAAAAGGUGGCCUUCAGGGAGCCCAAAAGUCGUGUUGUGCCUGUUGCAUCCCAUCCUUGGGAAAAACAUGUUACCUAUCUCUCAAAAAAAAAAAAAAAACUAACAACAAGACUUUUUUGCCUCCCUAGGACCUACCCAAAAAAAGAAAAAUUUUAAGGAAGAACCUUUCUUAGGCUUCAGUCCAAAAUUAGAUUUAAUUAUCUUGUUAUUCCAAAUUAUUCUCAGACAAAAAGAAUAUAUCAGUGUUUUUGAUCAAACUAUAUAAAUAAGAUGCCAAAAUAAUAAUAAUCUAUUGGAUUAUUGGGUGGUCCAACACAAGCAAUAUCAAGAGGUUUAGAUAAUGUUGACACAAGAGAUGCUUUUGAAUAAUUAAUUCAAACAAAAAAAGGUAUCAGAAACUUCCCAGUUACUUGAAUAAUUACGGAUGACGAUGGCGCUUAAUUAGAGUAAUUUCGUUUAAUGUUAUGUUACGAGUUUUUUUAUUCAAAGUAAGUGCACUUAAAAUUCGGCGCAUAAGUUUAAUUUGAACAAAAAGCUAAUAAAUGUGGAUAUCAAUAAUUGAGUACUAGGAAAGAGAAAUGUUGCUAUGUAAAAAAAAAAAAAUUAUGGAGGGGGGUGGGUACAAAAGAUCCUAAUCUGAGAACAUACAAAAUAACCAACUAAUCCAAAGUUGGAUUAGUUGAAGAACUAUGAAACAUAGCCCUUUUUAUCUCACACACAGGGAUGGUGUUUCCACUCUCUAGCAUCUUACUUUAGUCCUCGAACUAAAGCACUGAUGCUACAUAUGGAGGGUAAUAAAAAACCAUUGUGUUCUUGAGAAUUUUAGUGAAUAGAGCUUCUCCACAAUGGAAAUACUGGUUAUGUAUGGAGCUUGUCAAAAUUAAUAUUGAACUUAAAUUUGUACCGUUAUCGACCAAUUAUUAACAUAUGAUGACUUCAGGUUGUACAGUUUAGUGAAGUUGAAGUUGUAAAAGUACUAUUCUCAAAAAAAAAAGUUGUAAAAGUACUCAGACAUAUUCGAAAGUUGAAGAAUCGUAUCAAUCUUCCAUGGCAGCUUAAAUCACGCAGACGAGAUAAAUCUCACAUCGAUCGAUCCUGCGAGAUAUGCCGACCCACGACAUGCUUGACAAGAGCAGGAGGGUUUAGAGUUCAAGCCCACCACUUGCUCCACCACUAGGUACUUUGAAGAUUAUAGGGAUCUUUGAUGUUCAAUAUAGGUAAAGCCUUUUAGGAUAAGUGAUAGAGCCAUUAAAAAAAGGUGGAUGAAGGGUCAAAUUUGGUUUAGCCAAUUACCUUAAAUUCUAUUGGGGACUCAAUAUGCUGGAUAAUAUUUGGACCCACAAAUUCUGUCAAGUUUAGCAGCAGCUUUUAGCUAGUUAACAAAAGAGGCUAAUAAGUGAAAGAAACUACUGAUUAAUCAUAGAUGAUUUAAACUCAAAAGGUUCAUUUAUAAAUAGCCUUAUUAUUAGAUAUUCUGAAACAAUUGUAUUUUUGUUCAGAGAGAUAGAGAUGACAAGUUACUUGCUUCGUUCAAUUUUUUUAAAUAAACUUAACAAGAUAUGUAAAGUAAUUAGCAGGCCAGCUUCGCAUUUGAAAGCUCAGAUAUUAAUUAUCAAGUUUUUAGCCAACGGUAGUGUAUAUAUAUAGCAAGUGAAAUUUGUAUCAAGGUAGAAAUUCAUAGCAUUUAAUAUAUCUACUGCUUUUUGCCAAAGUAAUCUUAUUUCCCUUUUGCUUUAGCCUCACACAAGCCCCAUCUCCAAAUUCUACAAAAAGCACGCUUCCUAGGCUGGGAAACUUUUGAUCCUGCAAUUUAAAAAAUCACCAAAGGACCACCCUACUCCUGCGAAAGGCCUACGAGAUUACAUGAUUAGUGCACCACCCUUCAACAUUAAUCCAAAGGCUAAGUCACCUUUUUGCUCCCAUGUGUGUUNAAAAAAAAAAAAAAAAAAAAAAAAACGGACAAAAGGGAUACAUCCAAAAGCCAUUUGAUGCUUGUCUUAUAAAAAAUGUGCUCAUGAAUUGCUUUAGUAACUUCAUAACUUGCUUAGAUAAAUCUUAUGUUAUAUGUUUUUUUUUUUUUUUUUUUUUUUCUAUUUUUUUAGACUCAUGUGGACUUAGAUUUGAGCGAGAGUGGGUUUGGCUUACUAGGCUCCGAGCCUUAAUUUGGGCUAAUGUGUUCCACGCUCAAUCUGUAACAAGGAUCAAGUUAUAAGCUGCAUCGCGACGCAUGGCGAACUUGGCCGCGUUUUGAGUCAGCUUCCAUGUCCCACAACAACAUUGGCAUCGAAGAAUCAACUUCUCAUCCAAGUCAUAUAUAUAUAUAAAAAAAAAGAGAGUGAAAAUAUGUGGAAUUGAACCCCUCAACUACAAGCAAUGUUCAAAUAGAUUCCCAAAAUUUUCCUUUGAUCAACUUUAUUGAAAGUUUUAUUAAAUUUUACAAUUUUUAUCAGCUUUUUAACUUGUUAAUUAUUAAUAAAAUUCACGUAUCUUUUAGCUUGAAAAGUAAUUGACAGUGGUAGUCGUAAAAUUUUGACAGAUUCGCUGCCUAAUUUAACUAAAAUUUGAAUUCCAUCGACUGAAAGUUAAAAAUUUUCAAAAGAAAAAAAUUAAAAUAGUUUUUAGUUGAGGGGUUCACCGUACAAUUAAUAAAAGGUGAAAAAGAGAGACGGACAAAUUAACCACUUGCUGAGAUCCAGCCGUGCAGAGCGACACUCCAGGUGUUCGACGAAAUGCUUGUCCCAAACUUUCACUUAAAAACUCCGACAGCUAUGUCCUGUGCAUCAGCCACGAUGGCGCAAGCACAAGCAACAGAGGAAGUGGUAGUGGCCACCUGAGAUGCCCGUGGAAAUUAAUGUACCAAAAAUGAUACACCUUUGCUGCAUUUCCACGUGCAUCGGCAUAUUCCUAAAUGCAAUCAACUAAAACCCAACUCUUACAUGCUCCCACUUGUUCAAGGCUACAUUGAGCUCUAAUACUAUGCAAAAAGGUUUGAACCUCUAAAAUCAAUUUGUCAGACUCUGUACAUUCCAAGAGGUUCUGUGUUUCAUUCCCGCGUCUAUCAUAUAAUGGCGCACAUUUCUGCUCGUUAUGAUUUAUCCGAGCUCCGUUGCCGUACGAACCAACGUGUAAGAACUAUUUCAAAGUUGUUUUGUUCUUAUGAAAAGGGUAAUUAAACUAUUGUGGUCUCACUUGAUUUGUGGUCUACGAUUGGCGCCCCUUAAUUACAGGCGUUACGAAUUGAGGGUUUAUCUAGUGAGCCCUUUUACGGUGUAAAUUGUUCGACAAUUAAAGUGACUUACGAGGUGGGUUAUCCCUUUCCAGUGCCACGUGAAACGCAAGUGUUGUUUAAGUCUAAUCCUUCCUAUCAUCUCCUGAAUUGCAUUAAUUAAGCAAAGCCUUGUUUGGUAAUUGCGAGAACAUACUUGUCCCUUAUUAAGGGCCAUUUUUUGUACCGUACCGAGACCAAAAGAAGGAAAGAGAUUACAUAUAUAGAUUUUAAUAAUAUGAACCUCUUAUAACAAUCUCAUAUGUGGAUAAUAAUCCAAAUUAAGUGCGCUCUAGUUUGUAAUUAAAAGGCCACUACAAGUUGAACCCAAGGGACUUUUCCUAAAAAGGUUAAGCAACCAAUAAUUGGGAUCCGAACAAACCUUCCCCUUUCCUCUCAAGGGACCAAAACAAUCCAUCCCAAUCCCAAUCCUAUUUGCUGUUCCUUCGCCUUCUCCAUCUGUCACCUCCAUCAACAAAACAAAUUGCUCUAAACCGCUCAAAAAUUAUUGUCUGGACCUCUUCCCCCACAUCUCGCGCUAACUAUCAAACAAUCUACUCUUUCAUCGGACCACUCUUUCCGGCCCUGGUCAUUGUAAAAUAAGUUUUUGAUUAUCAAAACGGCAAAAGUUCACCUAAAAGUGGUGCACGAAAAGCUUUCUCUAUACCAGAUAUUUUAUAUAAGAAUACCAGCACUCAAAUUAGAAACCAUGUUUAUGGAGAAUUUCUCUCACAGUAGAUUUCUCGUGUGAAUUUCUUUUUGCAUUAGGGUCAAUUUGUUUUAUCGAGAAUGAAGUUUAGAUCGAAUAGGUUUUCGAAUGGAGCUAGAUGUCACAGGCUCGUUUGGUCCGUGCAGCGCUCGCCUUCCUUCGCGAAGUGAGCAAGUCUAUCUUUCUCCUUGCUAAGUCAGGACCUACUCGCCCUAGACUAAGAAUAAGAGAGAUAAAGAAAGUUCUUCUAUUAUUUUGAAAUAGAGAUUACAAAUAAGGAUUCUGAGUUGAGGAGGGUGGAGGCCACAACUAUUUAAAGGUUACUCGCCGCCCAUAAAGCAAAUGAAAAGAUACCAAGUGGCAUAAAGAUACAAGUCAAAAAGGAAGGUUACGAGCUCUCAAAGUCCUAAUAAAUAAGACUUCUAGAAAUAUAGAAACUCUAAGAGACUUCUCGGUUCCCUCUCGAGGUCCGCAUAGAAGUUUCUAGAAAAUCCAGGCAAAACCUCCUAGAUAUCCGCUUUAGAGUUUGGGUGAUUGCAAAAAAAAAUUUCGGCGAAAAUUUUUCUAAGUCCUGACAUAGAGUUCAGAUGAACGAGACGAAAAUUGUGAAACUAAAGUUUUUCUAGUUUUGCCUUUUGUUUUAUCGAAGAUAGAGUUAUGAUAAACCAACUAACGAAGAUAAAUAUCUAUUUUUACUAAUUUUCACGUAAAAAGCUAUGGAUAUCUAAUGGGGUAAGUCUCCAAAGAAGUGGAGUGCGCAUUCCUUGCUUGAAAAAGACAGUUUCGGAAUCCUAAGAAAUUACUUCUUCAUCUCCCCCCAUCCAUCCAGAUCCAAAUUAAAGGAGAGGAGAAGAGAUUGGAAUCCCCUCCCCACCCGUGCGCCCCCCUCUCUCUCUCUCUCUCUCUCUCUCUAUCUCUGCUAUUUUUUUAUUUAUUUGCAAAGUGGUCCCCCAACAAUACAUUAAUUACUUAAACAUACACCUCACCACACCCGUGCCCCGCAUCUCGUCCUAAUCCUGUACAAGAACUUGCCUUUAUUCGCCACCUUGGAAUACUAAUAAUUUAAUGAGAUCCGUACAGAUAUAGUAAGUAGCUGGCUUUCCGCAAAGAACGUCGUACCCCCUCUUGUCACGAUAACCCUCUAUUUUUAUCUACCUGCCCUUUAUUUGCCCACGUUCCUGUUAAAAUAUCUACUAUUAUUCAUUGCUUCAUUUAUUGUAAUUUUACCUUCUCUCGAAAUUUAAAUAUUAUAAAUUAUCGUAAUUAAUUUCGACUCGUUCUACAUCAAGCUGAUCACCCAAUUUUUUUUUUAAAAAAAAUUGAAUAAUAAAAAGCUUUAGAUUUUACAUUAUUAUUUUUUUGCCAGGCAAAUAAUAUAAUUGGGAAUAUUGUGAAAUUCAGUUUGAACUAAAUUUUUUCAACUAAACUAGACUUCAAAUAAAAAUUAUUUUUCUUCUGUAGUUCGUCAGUGUAAAUGUGAAAGUGAAAUUCCCUCUUGUUCUACUGUUUAUUUGGCGAAAAAUAAAAAACGUAAAAAUUAAAGAUGUGUAAGAUAAAUUAAUAUUUUAUUAUUUAGUUAUUUUUUCCUAAUUGACUUUGCUAAUUGACUUUUAACUGUGUUGGAGCGAAGUCAAUUACGGUAUUUUGAAGAUUUUGAUUUGCGAACGAAUGUGAAAUUAUAACGAACCAAAUUAUGAAAGUGAACAUUUAUGGCUGAUAACACUUUUGCCACUCUCCGCUUUUCAUAAAACAAACACGCCCGAAAAUCUAUUUCAAUCUAAACUUUCUCUACGGUAAAACAAGAUAAAAUUAAGAUUUUUAAAAUAAGAUUUUAAAUUAUAGAUCAAUUUAAAAUAAGAUUUUUAAACAUUUGUCGGUUAAAAUUAAAGAUUUAAUUAAAUGUAACAAUUUUAUUAACAAUUAAUUAAUUUAAUUACUCUUACUGAUAUCUGUGAGUUAAAAAGUUAGGAAUUUCAGAAUUAAAAGAUCAUAAGGGCAACUGAGCCAUUUACCAUUACAGAAACCUAGGACCAAACCGAUGGUUGAUGAUGAUUGUUAUUACUCCCUCUAUGACAAUGAUGCUAUAAAUUCGUGCAGUGAGUGGUUUGAAGCAUUUAAUAGUUCGGAGUGACAAUACAUGGAUGGGUAUUAUUAGCUAAUUAUUGAACGGUUAGGGCGAUGUUUAGUACAUUAAACCCAUUAAUAAUUCGGAUUAUAUUAAUUUAAUUAUUUGACUAUAGAUCCUAGCUAUACAUUAAUUAAAUACAUGAUGUUCUACUGUAGGGAAAGAUUCAAAACAAAUACAGCAUAUAUUUGCAUCUAUAUAUAUAUAUAUAUAUAUAUAUAUAUAUAUAUAUAUAUAUAUAUAUAUAUAUAUAUAUAGAAGGAGAGAACAUGAUAAUGUAAACAUGGUAACCGUACCUCAUGUGAUCGGAUACAAGGCGACGGACGAUCUACGAGCAGUGUGCACCGUCGAGAAAUUAUUCCUGGACCUGGUUCGCCACAUCAACCAUGUUCUUCCAUAGGAUUACCCUCCUGAGAAGAAAAUAUACAGUAUCACACUUACACCACAUCAUUAGUAACAAGACAAUUAUAUUUUUUUAUUUAAAAAAAAAUAUAAUAAAAUAUUUUUCUAUUAAUUAUGAUGGAAUGGAUGAACUCAAGAGAACAAUUCUAUUAAUUACGGACGUUACUAGUAAAUUUUAAACUUUUUUCUCCAUGAGAUUUUAUUCGAUAAAUUUUUUAAAAUUAUUUUUUCAUACGAUUUAUGCCUAUUUUAUAAUUUUUUUGUGUAUUUAGAUGAACAAUGUGGAUUUCAAAAAAUAAUUAAUGCUUUCUCAAUGAUUUUUAUCUAUAUAUUUUUUCUUUUUGCUGCUAGUGAGGGUAAAAGUGGAACUCACGGGUAAAUGAUGAUGGAAAGCAUUGGGGAGCGGUCCAGGGGUGAUGUGGUGGACUCGGUCGAGAGAAGCAUUUAGUCUGUCGGGGGCACCGCGGCUCCACAAACAUGAUAAUGCAGAGAGAUCGCGAUCGGCCGCACGCCCGCGAGAAUCAGACGAGCGACAUCGCCCGCCUAAGGAAAGAAGGAGAAGCGCCACGUCAGCAGCAUGCCCUGCUCCGCAACGCAGAGCACCACAAAAAGCCCCACGAGCCCCCAUUUCACACCCNNNNNNNNNNNNNNNGGGGGGGGGGAGAGAAGUAUAACCUUUUGAUUUGCGUUAGGGUUUUUUUUUCUUUCUUUUUUGGUUACGAAAAUGGAGAGGUGGAAGAAGCCGCCGCCGCCUCGGGCGCGGCGAGGGUAUAGCUGCGACCACCCCUCCUUCUCCUCCACACUCCUCGACGCCAUCUACCGCUCCAUCGACGAGCCCGAGGGCGCCGGCGCGGCGGCGAAGCCCCCGCCGCCGCCCGCCGCCGCGUGGAGGAGCGCCACCGUGCGGGAGCGGGACGCGGCGCCGCGCCGCCCCCAGCAGCAACCGCAGCCGCCGCAGCAGCAGCGCCGCUGCGGCGCGUGGCCGACGUACUCGACCUCGAGCUCGUCCGAGUGCUCCAGCUACGGCGGGUUCUCGUCGUCCGAGGCCGAGUCGUCGGCGCCCGGCUCGGCCCGGCUCAAGCCGAUCCUCCCGGAGAAGAAGAAAUCGAGCUCGAUCCGGAGCCGGAUCCGGGAGUUCCGCAGAUCAUCGAAGGCCCCCGCUUCCCCGGGGGCGCGCCUCGCGAGCUUCCUCAACUCGAUCUUCGCCGCCGCGGCCGGAAACCCUAGGAAGCCCUCCAAGCGCCCCGCCUCCGCCGCCGCCGCGAGCUGCGGCGAAUCGGCCUCGGCGUGCUCCACGGCGUCGUCCUACUCGCGCUCGUGCCUCACCAAGACUCCAUCGACCCGCGGCGGGCUCCCCCCCGCGGCGCCGCCCCCGCCGCCGCCGAAGAGAUCUGUGCGGUUCGGCCCCGUGAGCGUGAUCGUCGACGAGGAGCUCCGCCCCUACGAGAAGAAGCUCCCCUACGACNGAAGCCGCCGCCGCCCCCGCCGCGGCGCCCCCCCUCGGGCGGCGCCCAGCUACCUCAGAACCACUCCGUGCUCGCGCUCAUCCUGCUGCGGCACCUCGUGCGGCUCCGGCUAAGCGGCGUCGAGCGCCGCCGCCGCCUCCGCCCCGCGAACCUCCCGAAGGAUCCCAAAGGCCGGCGCCGCCGCUUCUAGCUCAACUCCUUCGAGCGCUCCGCGCGGGGGCCCCUUCGCCCCCGGAAGCUACUAGACGCCUUGAGGGCCUAGGCCGAGGCCUAGCUCGAGCUAAAGAAGAAGAGGCCCUCCCCAACGCGCUCGGGCCCCCUGACCUGGCGCCCCACCACCACCUGGCCCGGCCCGGCCCUGGGCCAGGCCUAGCCGAACUCGGCCCGGCUCGGCCCGCGGCUGCUGAGCCGGAGCCUGCUGCUCUUGGGCGGCAUCGACCUCGUGAGCCUGCUCGAGCUCCAGCUCAUGCAGCCGGUGCGCGGCGUCGCCGCGACGACGACGCCGCCGACGCCAACGACGACCCCCGCCGCGCCGCGGCGCAGGGCGAGGGCGUGCCACCGCGAGGAGGUGCGCCGCCGCCCGCCGCCGCCCCCGAAGCGGCGGCGCGGCCGCGGGAGCCCGAGCAGCUACCUCGCCAUCUACCGCAGCUCCUCACACCUCCUCUUCCUCCCCACCAGCGUCGAUAUGGGAGCGGCGCGGGCUCCGCCGCCGCCGAAGAAGGUGGCGAAGAAGGUGGAGAGGUAAAAGCAUUGGUUUUUUCUUUCUUUUUUUUUUGGAUUGCGUUUAGUUUUCCAAUAUGAAGAGAGAGGGGGGGGGGGGAGAGAGAGAGAGAGAGAGAGGUGGCUUCAUAUAAAAAGGAAAGAAAAAAAGAGAAAAGGAAAAAGAAAACAUCCUCUCCCUCUACUCUAAGCUUUUACCCUCAUCUCUCUCUCUCUCUCUCUCUCUCUCUCUCUCUCUCUCUCUCUCCUUUCACUCGUUCUUUCCCUAGUCUCUCCCUCCCAAUCCUCACUCGCUUCCCCCAAAGAUCUGUGCGGUUCGGCCCCGUGAGCGUGAUCGUCGACGAGGAGCUCCGCCCCUACGAGAAGAAGCUCCCGUACGACGGCGAUCCUCUACCAAUGGCGAGGAAGAGAGCGGAGGAGAUGGCGCUAGGGUUUCAUAGGGAGGAGGAGGAAGAGGAGGAGGAAGGGGAGAGCGAUUCGAGCUCGGAUCUCUUCGAAUUGGAGAGCUUAACUGUGACGGGUGACGAGCUCCCGGUGUACGAGACCACCAGCUUCCUCACCAAUCGCGCCAUCGCCCAUGGUCUCAUCGUGUAAUUUGAAAACCCAAAAUAAUAAUAAAAAAAACCCCCCCUAAAAAUAGUUAUUAAAAAAAAAAGGGGGGGAUAAAUGAAAAAUAUGGUCGAGGGGAGGGUACGUAGGUAAUUUAGUAAGCGUGUUUCGCGAGUUAACAAGUUUAAUCUGGUGCUUUUAUUAUCAUUAUAUUAUUAUUAUUAUUUUCUUCUUUAUUUUGGUAAUUACUGGACUAAUCUGGUUAUUAAUUAAUUAGCUAAUUAUUCUAUUAGCAUAAUUUUGUUUCUAUAUUAUUACAACUUUUGCAAACAGUAAAACUAGUUAUGCAAAAUAUUAAUUAUUCCGAAACAGAAAAUUGAAUUAAUGGUGUCAUUAAUCUUUUCUAUGGGAUUCCAAUGAUUUCCCGAUUUACUCUUUUGGGACCACCCAGCAAUUUUGCAAGUAUGGUAAUUUUAUUUUUAUUUUCUCAAUUUUUUUCUAAUGGUCAUUCUAAUUUGGUAGACCAUCUCAUUCUGCGGCGGAGGACGAUUUCGUUAAGAAGCGCCUCAACGGGAUCUUAGUGAGACGGUUUGGUGAUUCACUAUUAUGAGUUUGAAUUUUAUAGUUUUUAUUGCUACAUACAAAUUUUUCGUUCAAAUCUCAAUACUAUAUAUAAAUAAGAAUGAGGUGUUUUAUUGAGGUAAUUUAUUUAGUUAGUUCGUAAGAUAAGUAAUAAUAAUCUUAAUUAAGUUGCAGAGGAUGUGCUCAUGUGAAAUUGAGAGGGUGACAAAUAGGAAUUUAUUUAUUAUAAAUAACUAUUUGUCACCAAUGAUGCAGCAUAGAAAAAGUAAAACAGAGGAAAAGGAGAAAAGGGUGCACACGCUUUGUCUCCUAUAGGAUGAAAGGAAUGAUGGGGAGAAUCAAUAAGAAAACAUUUUUGGAAGCAAGGAAUUUUUCUUGAAUAUAAUUAAUGUCCUAUAUAUCUCUAUAUAAAUAACUAAUACUUUGUUUACAAAAAAAAAAAAAUUACAAUAAUUUACUACAAAUUAAGUAAUGAAAUGCUACAAUUUCUACUUCUUUAAUCUUACGGUUUUGUUAUAUAUCCAAUUAGAUAUGAUUACAUAUGCCAGUUUGUAAAAUGAUGUAGAAUUAGCCAGCAAGCGUAGCAUUACUUGUAAGUAACUACACAUUGAGCUUUAAUUUAGGCUUGAACUUAUUUUUGAGAGAUAGGUAGCACGUUACCCGCUUCGUUUAUUUCAUUUAGAAAUAAACUUAGCUGAAAAUGUGAAUCAACUAAAAUUCGAACUUGGGUCUCGGGUACCAACCACCAAGAAUUCGAACUUGGGUAUCGGGUACCAACCAUCAAGCCCUUUGCCACUUGCUCUAGGGACGGUCGGUCUUUAGGCUUAAACUUAUUUUCAAAUUUUGCUUGAACACUCGCCAAAU